Molecule: long non-coding RNA, 1104 nt
Filed under: Dasypus novemcinctus (nine-banded armadillo)
Lineage: Eukaryota; Metazoa; Chordata; Mammalia; Cingulata; Dasypodidae
Description: lncRNA (ENSDNOG00000050451.1)
Source: RNAcentral
GCAUAACCUUUAAUUAAUAUUUCAUCUACAGCCAGGGUGCGUAACUUGAAUAGGGCCUAAAAAUAUUGCUGUCCCUCUGCUUUGAGAUCAUUAACUGUGAGACACGGAGCCAGUGUGGGUUAUCCGAUUGUUUGCAAUUAUUUCUAAAAUUAAAAAUCUUUAACCCGUUCACCCAUAACAAAAUGGCGGGCUUGGGGGUAAAGGCUUAAAGAACUGCAACUCACCGAGGGGGGUGAAGGCGCAAAUUCCAAACAUCAUUCAUUUCAGCCCCCCGCGUGGGGUGCGGGGAGCCAUGUCACCUGUCUGUGGAGUGACUGCGGGGACGCUUGGUGGGCCAGCUGAUCCCACUGGGCUCCUGAGGUCAUCUGUUUGCUGUGCUGGAUGACCACAGAACACAGAUCACCGGGUUGCAGCGGCGCAGCGUGGUCUUUGAUGUUUUCUGGGGCAGGACUCUUGAGACUUUGAGUGCCUCUGGGGAGAGGGCCAAGGAAUGUCGCCCUGCAUGACUUUGGAGCCUGGAGGGACAGAUGCUCUUUUGGGAGCAGGAAGGAGGACAGGAUACCAUCUGACUACGCUGACAACCCUCUGGGACCCGAGGUGGGCUGCGCUCACAUCCGUGACGACAGGCAUCUCCCGAGUCCUUUGCAGGAGCCGCGCUGCCCCUGCUGUGUCUCAUGCAUCCUCCCAGACAACCCGCCAUCUUCAUUUCACAGACAGGAGACUGGCGCUUUGGCUAAAAACAACGAAUUGCCAGGUCACGUGGUGGUGCACGAGCUGGGACAGGAAUUCGGUCCCCUGGCUCUGUGCCCAGGACUGUGAGAUCCCUGGUAUGUGUGGAUGGCCAGCUCUCGGGGACGGCUCUCUGGGCAGGUGAUGCGAGGCUCACCCUUUCCAAACCUCCUUUGAGUCCCCAGGAGUCGUCAGCUCUAACCUGGGUGAGGAGUCGUGACCUCUCACCUGGGAAGCGUCACCCCAAGGGGCAGAACAUUGAACUUGAUAAACAAUUGGGACUGCUUGAAAUUUUCCUGCUCACUGGCCCUUGGUGUUGCUGGGUUUCUCUCUUUUGGGGCGUGCUGACUUCUCCUUAAACAUUUUUAAAAACUC